Molecule: ribosomal RNA, 429 nt
Filed under: uncultured archaeon
Lineage: Archaea
Description: bacterial SSU rRNA
Rfam family: Archaeal small subunit ribosomal RNA
Source: RNAcentral
UACCUGCAGCUCAAGUAGUGAUCACUAUUAUUGGGCCUAAAACGUUCGUAGCCGGUUUGGUAAAUGCCUGGGUAAAUCGUGUAGCUUAACUAUACGAAUUCCGGGUAGACUGCCAAACUUGAGACCGGGAGAGGCUAGAGGUACUCCUAGGGUAGAGGUGAAAUUCUGUAAUCCUGGGGGGACCACCAGUGGCGAAGGCGUCUAGCUAGAACGGGUCUGACGGUGAGGAACGAAGCCCUGGGGCGCAAACCGGAUUAGAUACCCGGGUAGUCCAGGGUGUAAACGCUGCUUGCUUGAUGUUAGUUGGGCUCCGAGCCCAAUUAGUGUCGGAGAGAAGUUGUUAAGCAAGCUGCCUGGGAAGUACGGUCGCAAGAUUGAAACUUAAAGGAAUUGGCGGGGGAGUACAGCAACGGGUGGAGCGUGCGGUUU